RNAcentral lists this long non-coding RNA (1254 nucleotides) under Phasianus colchicus (ring-necked pheasant). Its description in RNAcentral is "lncRNA (ENSPCLG00000018646.1)". The record is from RNAcentral. Lineage: Eukaryota; Metazoa; Chordata; Aves; Galliformes; Phasianidae.
AUGUCCUCCUCUUGCAGCUGCCUCUCUCCUCCCGUCUCCAUCCUUCUGCUCCUCUCACCUCACUCCCUCUCCCCUUCGCCCACUGGUUCCCUGCCCACAUUUCACUUCUCCCUUCUUUUCGCCAUCGCUUUCCAUGCUUACGGCCAUUCCUCCUUUCUCUGCUGCCCCAAACCCUGGGCAGCCCCAGUUUAUGGUCACCCAUCGCUGAGGCCGCCCACAGCCUCCGCUCUCCCACCCCACCUCUUCUUUGUUGUUAUUUUAAUACGAGGUCUUCUGGAAGCGGGGGGGGGAUUAACCUGUGAGAAGCGCCACGCUGACCCCAGGGGCUGCAUCCCAUGGGACGGGGACAUGGGGGCCAUUGGGGUCGGACUGGGAGCGUGGCUCUGGGCGAAGGGCUGCUCCUGGCACCGCGCUCCCCAUCGCACAGCGCUGCGCUCCCCGGAGCCCUUCAUGUCUGAACAGCUCGUGCGCCGCCCGGGCAAUCCCUCCCAAUUAAGGGCAGGGAAAGCAAAGGAGCCCGAGCCCGCACGGCUCUUUGGUAGGCAAACACACAGCGCCCGGGGCCCUGGCACGCUGCCGCCGUGCUCAGGGUGUCGCAAUGGGUGGGCAUUCACAGCAAGCUCCUGGAUCGGCAAGAAACGCGCGGGCUCCACCCGACCGCCGCCGAUGUGCUGCCCGGGCGCGUCCGUCUGGCUCCGGCAAGGAUCGAGCGGGCGGCACGGAGCUGUGGGUGCUGCAGUGCUGAGCCCUGUGCACAGCGCUGCGCCGAGCCCUGCAGCCAGCCCUGCACCGAGCCUUGCACCCAGCCCUGCACCGAGCUUUGCAUCCAGCUCUGCACCGAGCUCUGCACCCAGCCCUGCACCGAGCUCUGCAUCCAGCUCUGCAGCCAGCCCUGCACCAAGCUUUGCAUCCAGCUCUGCACCGAGCCUUGCACCCAGUCCUGCAUCCAGCCCUGUAUCGAUCCCUUUGCUGAGCCCUACACUGAGCCCUGCAUCAAGUCCUGCACCCAGCCCUGCACCCAGCCCUGCACUGUGCCAUGCACCCAGCCCUGCACCCAGCCCUGCACUGUGCCAUGCACCCAGCCCUGCACCCAGCCCUGUGCCUCACUGCCUGGCUGGACCCCCCCUCACACCGCUUUCCAUCACGUUAGCCUCGGUUGAUUUAACCAGAAAACAACCCCAGAAUUUAAUUCCCUGGCGCUGCUUCUCCCAUCCUGAUCAGGAGGCGGCCGCCCGCUGCCUGCGCCUGAGCUGA